RNAcentral lists this ribosomal RNA (253 nucleotides) under uncultured bacterium. RNAcentral describes it as "partial 16S ribosomal RNA". It matches the Rfam family "Bacterial small subunit ribosomal RNA", at positions 524 to 776 of the family's 1533-position model. The record is from RNAcentral.
UACAGAGGGUGCGAGCGUUAAUCGGAAUUACUGGGCGUAAAGCGCGCGUAGGCGGCUUUGCAAGUCGGGUGUGAAAUCCCCAGGCUUAACCUGGGAACUGCAUUCGAGACUGCAUUGCUAGAGUAUGGGAGAGGGAAGUGGAAUUUCCGGUGUAGCGGUGAAAUGCGUAGAUAUCGGAAGGAACAUCAGUGGCGAAAGCGACUUCCUGGACCAAUACUGACGCUCAUGUGUGAAAGCGUGGGGAGCAAACAGG